GAUGAACGCUAGCGGCAGGCUUAACACAUGCAAGUCGAGGGGCAUCGAGAGUAGCAAUACUUGUCGGCGACCGGCGCAAGGGUGCGUAACACGUGAGCAACAUACCCGUUUCAGGAGGAUAACCGGAGGAAACUCUGCCUAAUACUCCAUGACAUCAUCAAACGGCAUCGUUUGAUGAUUAAAGAUUUAUCGGAAACGGCUUGGCUCGCGGGACAUUAGCUCGUUGGUGAGGUAACGGCUCACCAAGGCGACGAUGUCUAGGGGUUCUGAGAGGAAGGUCCCCCACACUGGAACUGAGACACGGUCCAGACUCCUACGGGAGGCAGCAGUGAGGAAUAUUGGACAAUGGUCGGAAGACUGAUCCAGCCAUGCCGCGUGAAGGUUACUGUCCUAUGGAUAUUAAACUUCUUUUGUAUGAGAGCAAUAAGGUGCACGUGUGCACCGAUGAGAGUAUCAUACGAAUAAGCAUCGGCUAAC
This 477-nucleotide ribosomal RNA is filed under the name uncultured bacterium. RNAcentral describes it as "bacterial SSU rRNA". It matches the Rfam family "Bacterial small subunit ribosomal RNA", at positions 28 to 501 of the family's 1533-position model. The record is from RNAcentral.